RNAcentral lists this transfer RNA (62 nucleotides) under Rattus norvegicus (Norway rat). It matches the Rfam family "tRNA", at positions 6 to 65 of the family's 71-position model. Rfam says of the family: Transfer RNA (tRNA) molecules are approximately 80 nucleotides in length. Their secondary structure includes four short double-helical elements and three loops (D, anti-codon, and T loops). Further hydrogen bonds mediate the characteristic L-shaped molecular structure. tRNAs have two regions of fundamental functional importance: the anti-codon, which is responsible for specific mRNA codon recognition, and the 3' end, to which the tRNAs corresponding amino acid is attached (by aminoacyl-tRNA synthetases). tRNAs cope with the degeneracy of the genetic code in two manners: having more than one tRNA (with a specific anti-codon) for a particular amino acid; and 'wobble' base-pairing, i.e. permitting non-standard base-pairing at the 3rd anti-codon position. The record is from Rfam by way of RNAcentral. Lineage: Eukaryota; Metazoa; Chordata; Mammalia; Rodentia; Muridae.
UGUAGCUUAGCUGGUAGAGUACUUGUCUAACACGCAUGAAGUCCUGGGUUCAAAUACCAGCA